CCCCCCUCUCUCUCCUCCCCCGUCUCUCCCAACUCUUCACUCCCGUCAACACUCGGGAGCGCGCGGCUCCUCCCAACCGUCGGCGGCCGCGCCGGCCCCGGGCGCAUGCGCGCGGAGGUGUGGCGCUGCUCCGUCCAAUUGUAGGUGCGAGGAACAGCAGGGGAGAGGUAAUUCUGCUGCACCUCAGCUUCGACAGACCUUGCUCGACAGUGUACCGUUGCCGUACUGAAGGAAAGCAACAGAAAGAGGAGGCAUUCGUCAGGAAGCAGAUGAUCUCCAGUCAUCAAUAUCAUCACAACAGAAUCUGACAAUCAAGUAGUUCUGUCAUAGAUGGGUCAAACUCCUGGAACUCCCAGGAUUGUGUGUAUACCCAUACCUCAAGGACUGCAAUGGUUUAAGAAGGUAGCUCGUCAAUACCUUCUGAAGGGCAAUUAGGGAUGGACAAUUAAAUGCUGGUUCUGCUUGUGAAGCCAACAUUCCUUGAAUGAAUAAAAUAAUCCUAAAUCUCUUAUCCCUUACCCUAAACCAAUGCCCUCUGAUUUAAGACACCUCUACUAUGGGGAAAAGCUUCCUACCAUCUAUAUUAUCUCUGUUCUUCAAUUUUGUACACCUCUAUUAGACACCUCCUUCACUCCUAAGAAAACAAACCCAGCUUAUCCAAUCCCUCCAUAUAACUGAAAUAUUCCUUCUCUGGCAACAUCCUGGAAAAUCUCCUGUGUAUCCUUUCCAAUGCAAUCACAUCCUUCCUAGUGUGGUGGCCAGAUUUAGACACAAUACCCCAGCCGUGUCCUUACAAAAGUUUCAUAAAAUUGUACCAUGACUUCCAUGCUUUUAUAUUCUAUGACCCAGCUAAUGCAGGAAAGCAUUUCCAUGUGCCUUCUUCACAGUCUGAUCUACCUGUGCUGCCAUCUUGAGGGAUCCUUGAAUUUGUAUAUGGAGUAUGUAUUACCAAUAAUAGACCUCCCAAUACGAUUUCCACUCAACAUAAAAAUGCAUUUGCAGAGGUGGCAUCUCAUAAAACAAUGUGACUAAUAAACUAUUUCCACCAUGGAUCCUGUGCUGCAUACAGGUUUAAAACUUUUAUCCUUCUGUUUCUUUCCGGAUGCCACUGCAAACACCAGCAAUUUUAAAUAUGUGUAGAAUUAUAUAUCGCAAGUCACUGACACCAUGUUUGCUAAAAGCCAGUUCAACCAACUUCAAUAAAGAACUUGAUAGGAGAAUGACUAGAAAAUGCAAUCAUACAGCGUGCAGGAUUCCCCAAGAUCCAAGGAGUCAAUACUGCAACCACAUGGUUGUGCACAUUUCAUUGAACCAUGCUACCUUGUGUUAUCAACAUGAUUCCAUUUUCUUAGUCCAACUUGUUUGCCAAUUGGUGCACUGCAUCAUACAAGUGUAAUUGAUUUUCCUUGCAAUAGCCAUAGUAAGUUUAUUUCAAAGCUGUCCAAAGUGCCAACACUCUUUCUCCUGAGAGAUGAAAAGUAACCUGCCUCACUUCUCACCGGGUGGAUGAUUCUGGACUGACGCCAGUGAAGGGAACAGUAGGUAACACUGUAUGUUUUGACUUGUUGGACAAGCUGCAUGAAAGUGAACCAGUAUCUCCUGACAGGAGAGAAAGCUCACUAAAAGAUUAAAAUAAGCAAAAGUAGGAAUUAGAAGAGCAAAAUAGGGAUUAGAUUGAGGAGUACUUUGAUACUUUUGCUUAUUAGGUACUCCCAAAUAAAUCUCAACAGAUUGUCAAUCAAUCCCACAAUCCUAAAAUGAACAAACUGCAACCUGAUGUAUAUUUCGCACAAUAGUAGCAACUGAGUAAUGGUACCAGUUUGUGGUCUGAACUACAUUUUUAUGUUUAUAUUCAAGUACUUGCAUGCCCUUCAAAUCGUCCCAAAGGUCGAUCCCAAUUUGGCCCAGUGAACGUGCCACAUUUCCAAAAUUGGUGAAUUCUCUUAUUUGACUUGAUCAAAAUAGUUCCCAAUACAGUAAAACUCCAAUACUUCAUUAUCCUGUUGUUCAGAAAUACUGAUGGUUUGGCAUCUUGCUCACUUUUUUCUGUUUCCUGCAUUCUCUUUAAACACACAGUGACUCUGGUUCUUAACUCCUUUUUGACACAAUCAAUAAAUGAAUUCCUAAUCAUUAAUAGAGGACAAAGUUUAUAAAUAGGUACUCUAGAAAAAAUACCAAGGAGAUUCACAGGGAUGUUGGCAAGACUAGAGAAAUUUCAGCUACAAGGGAAAGAUCAGAUAGGCCUGGGAUUAUUUCGUUAGGAUCAGCGGUUACUGAAGUGAGAUUUAACUGAUGUAUUAAAUUAUGAGCAGACCUAAAUAGAGUCAAUAGGAAGGAUCUUAUUUCCUUAAUAGAGGUCAUUAACCAAUGGUUAUUGAUUUAAAAUAAUUGGCAGGAGGACUGGAGGGGUGUUGGCAAAUUUUUUCAGCCAAAGAGUAGUGGGAAUCAGGGAGUGACUGAAAAGUUGGUGGAAGCAGACACUCAUUAAUCUAAUAAGUAUUUGGCUUUAAACUUAAUGUGCUGUAAUCAACCCCUAUCUGUAAGGCUACAGAUGAAGUGCUGGAAAACUUGAUCGGUAUGAGCUGUGCCAUUUUGGAGCUCCAUGCUAUAAGUAAUGACUUAUCUUAAUUUCACACAUUUAACACCAGUGGUAGUCCUUGAUUAGCCAAUGCAUUUCUAAGAUGUUCAUAAUUUUUUCCUCUGAAUUUUAGGAAUUUGUUCAUAGAUGACUUUAACCGUGGCAUCCAGCUUAACCUGCUCUCCAUCUUGAUUAGGCAUGUUGCUUCUGUUAUCCUCCAGUCUUAUAUUGAAAGAGAAUUAAAAUCUGUUCACCUUC
Pristis pectinata (smalltooth sawfish) is the source of this 2836-nucleotide long non-coding RNA. RefSeq lists it as uncharacterized. The record is from RefSeq and is a predicted model, not a curated record. The transcript has 2 exons. Lineage: Eukaryota; Metazoa; Chordata; Chondrichthyes; Rhinopristiformes; Pristidae.